Molecule: ribosomal RNA, 497 nt
Filed under: uncultured bacterium
Lineage: Bacteria
Description: partial 16S ribosomal RNA
Rfam family: Bacterial small subunit ribosomal RNA
Source: RNAcentral
GAUGAACGCUGGCGGCGUGCCUAAUACAUGCAAGUCGAGCGAACAGACGAGGAGCUUGCUCCUCUGACGUUAGCGGCGGACGGGUGAGUAACACGUGGAUAACCUACCUAUAAGACUGGGAUAACUUCGGGAAACCGGAGCUAAUACCGGAUAAUAUAUUGAACCGCAUGGUUCAAUAGUGAAAGACGGUUUUGCUGUCACUUAUAGAUGGAUCCGCGCCGCAUUAGCUAGUUGGUAAGGUAACGGCUUACCAAGGCAACGAUGCGUAGCCGACCUGAGAGGGUGAUCGGCCACACUGGAACUGAGACACGGUCCAGACUCCUACGGGAGGCAGCAGUAGGGAAUUUUCCGCAAUGGGCGAAAGCCUGACGGAGCCACGCCGCGUGAGUGAUGAAGGUCUUCGGAUCGUAAAACUCUGUUAUUAGGGAAGAACAAAUGUGUAAGUAACUAUGCACGUCUUGACGGUACCUAAUCAGAAAGCCACGGCUAACUACGUG